CACACUGCUCAGCAGGAAAUCACAUUGCAAAUGAUUUGUUUUAUUUUAGUCCUGUCAUCCUGGGUAGCUCUGCAUUGCUUUAUCUGAGCUUGCGAAACAGCCCUGAAUGUGAGCAGUCAGAAUCAAGUCAUGUUCUCGCCCUUCAUCGCGCUUGGCACGUUUUCUUUCCGGACACAUCCAGUGGAUACUGUGCAGACCUUCUCCAGCUAAUCUCAGGAAGGCUGAAGUUUUUAGACGGCCACCCUUCAUAUUUAGGGGUGCUUCUCAGGCCUUCGGUAUUACUCAGGAAUUCCUGAUAUGUUGCCGUGCAGUGGUGGUGCACACCUAUAGUUCCAGUGCUCAGGAGGCAAAGGGAGGCAGAUAACUGUGAGUUCGAGGC
This is a non-coding RNA of Mus caroli (Ryukyu mouse), 379 nucleotides long. NCBI's taxonomy places the organism in Eukaryota, Metazoa, Chordata, Mammalia, Rodentia, Muridae. The record is from RefSeq and is a predicted model, not a curated record.